AAACCUCGGGUGAGCCAAUUAAGAACAAAUGGCGCAGUUACAGAAGACAGGAUGCAACCCUGCCACCUAUCUCUCUCUUUCAGGUGGUAAUCGUGUACCCAUACCACAGGACACUCCCCUUGGGUGCAUCUGCCAAACUGGGAAAAGGGUCCGUGUGCCUAAUUCUUCCUGGUUGUGUGACAAGACCUCGGACUGAGCUGAGCUAAGGAGCAGAAAAACUGCAACAAUAUGAGGGAAAAGACAGAAGGCAGACUGUGACAAAUGAAUUUAACUGUACUACAGAUGAAUUAGAUAACCACAAUGAAGAAGAUGGAAAGAAAGUUGAUGAUCUCCAUAACUUUAGAAAAUGCUUUGGCUUAAUAAUGCAAGGCUAAGGACAAAAAAGACCUCAGUGGACUUGUUCCAAGGAAAAGGAAAGAGGGAUGGAGCAUGGUUUUAUGGCAGCCUUUCCCCAGAAUGAAAUAUACUUUGAGCACAUGAGCUCAUGAGCAGGAGAAAACUGAUCGGAAGGACAUGAUGGCCAUACAAACCUUGUCCUGUAUAUUUUCUAAAAUUAUAUAUCC
This 563-nucleotide long non-coding RNA is filed under the name Homo sapiens (human). RNAcentral describes it as "HSALNT0108820". Lineage: Eukaryota; Metazoa; Chordata; Mammalia; Primates; Hominidae. The record is from RNAcentral.